CAAGGAGAGCAGGAAUCCUAUAAUAAUGAGAGUUUAGAGAGAAAAAGAGAGAGAGAGAAUGAAUAGUCACUUUGUGUGUGGGCACAGGGUUUACAUCUGGUUUUAUAUUAAGUUUGAGCCAAGUGAAGGCCAAAUGAUACCACAACAAAGCUCAAAUUAACGUUCUGUGGUAGUCUGAAGAGGGAAAAGCAGUGAGAUAACCAGGUCAUAAACCCACUCAUCAAAGUAAAGUGCUUGCACCCGCGAUGGCUCAAAGGGGAGCUCUGCUGACUGUGGCCUAGAACCCAAGGCCCUGAGGACAAGGACAUGCGACUGGAAACCAUCUGAGCCCAGGUAGAAACAUAGAAACAGAGUGAUCAGGAAACAGAACUCAGCUUUGCAGACUGCCUAGUUAGUGAGUACAACUGCCUGAGCAGAUUCCCUCAUCCUGUACUGCUAGACUUAAAAUAGAUCACUAGAAGCUGGAACCUCAAGCGAUGGAGGGGAGGGGGACCCUAAAUUUCUCUUCAUG
Molecule: long non-coding RNA, 511 nt
Organism: Capra hircus (goat)
Lineage: Eukaryota; Metazoa; Chordata; Mammalia; Artiodactyla; Bovidae
Exons: 3
Source: RefSeq, a predicted model, not a curated record